RNAcentral lists this long non-coding RNA (2229 nucleotides) under Pelobates cultripes (western spadefoot toad). Lineage: Eukaryota; Metazoa; Chordata; Amphibia; Anura; Pelobatidae. The record is from RNAcentral.
CGCAAUGGCUGAGAGAGGCUCAUGAUAAGUGCUCGCCCAUGGACUGUGGCCCUGCUUUGAGCUUUAAAGUUACCUGGAUUCUCCUGCUGGGGAAGAAAAGUCGGGUAUGCGACCACAGGACCCCUAAAAGAUUGAGGUAACUUGUCAAACCAUACUAAAAAUAAAUUAUCUUCUUUUUUACUAAAGUACAAAAUUUGUAUAUCCAGGGAGAGGACGUUAGGUUGCUUAAUAUGAUGUGGGGUAACCUCUAAUAGAAUAUAAAUAUUAGAAUGAAGAGGAAGGGAGCUUCAGAGGUAGACAAUUUUUAAUACCACACAACCCUAACCUUCCCAAAUAUAGAAAUCAACCCAAAAUAAUAAUACAUUAAUUAGUAAAACAUAACCUUUAUUGGAUACAGUCUAAAAUUGCGUUUCAGAAUAUAUAUAGAGUGUGACUUGUAUAGCAAACUAAAUAGCCUUCAUCAGGAUUUAAAAUCCAUCAUAGGUAUAAAUAGGUAUAAGAAUCAUCAUAGGCAUCAUAGGUAUAAAUAGGAAAAUAAUGAUAUUGGAAAAACAGGGGUAAAAAAAGGAAUUGAAAAAAGAUAAUAAAUCAAAUAGAAAACAUCCUAGCCAACCGAAGCAGAAUUGUAGAGUUAGCUGCUUCGGUUGCAAAAAAUGGGGGGUGAAGAAACACUUAAAUAAUGAAAUAAAUGUAGCAGUUGUAAUAACAAUAUAGAAAAAGUUGGAAGGUGUACUAACUAGAAGUAAUUGACAGAUUGAAUAGAGCAAAAGCGGGGGAGGAAGUCAACCAGUAGACAUGUGCAAUUUGUUUCGUUCCGAAUGCAAAUUCGGCCAAAUUUCGGGAAUUGGGACAUUCGGAUGGUUCCGAAUGUCCAAAUUUCCGAAAUGCCGAACCGAACUGAAUUGCCAAAUUUCGGAAGUGCUUUGGAUUUCUGAAAAUUGGCAAAACAAGAGACGGAGUAAAAACUACGGGAAUAAUGACAGGAAUCUAACCCUAACCCUACCCCUAUCCCCAACACUACCCAUAGUGGUUGGAGGUAGGGUUAGGAGUAGGAUUAGAGGUAGGGUUAGGAGUAGAGGUUAGGGAAUUGCCGAAGUCCUAAAUUUCGGAAGUGCCGAACCAAAGUGCGGAAGUCCCGAAUUGACGAAUUUCGGAAGUGCCGAACAGAAGUGGCGAAUUGCCAAAGUCCUGAAUUUUGGAAGUGCCGAACCAAAUUUUUUGCCCAUGCACAUCCACAUUAAUCAGUAAUAUAGGUAGGAGAUAGCCUAUAGAUCUAAAUAGAUAUAACCUAAUGUGCCUUCGUGGGCACCCCUUAAAAAAUAUCUAAACCCUCCUUUCUCCCAAAGUAAGGUAUAAAAAUACCCAUAGAAAACAAAUAGCUAACGAAUGAAGAACACCCUCCCCACUAGACAACUGCUACCUAAUGGUUAAAAAGAAAGAUUUCACCAAGUAAUGGCUCUUCCAGGGGAGAAAUGCGCGUUGGGACAAUUUAGUGCAGUGGUUGGCAAUGAGAUAAGGGACAUUAUGAUAUAAUAGACAGCCACCACGCAAUGCUUUUACUAUGCCUUACUUAAAUCUUUCUAUUUAACAAUUACAGUCGUGGUCCCUGCAAUAUUCUUUAAAGGAGAACUGAAUUUAUAUCAUUGAAUAAAACUUCAAACUUGUGUUAUCUUUAACCCUUUGAUUUUUAUGAGAUGCUCUGUUUUCUUUCAAAUUUAUUAUUUUAAAAAAAAUAGCAAAUUACAUUAAAAAAAAAAAUUCACGCAGUCUAGGCUUUUCCAGGACACACAUUGCAAAUAAGGAGAAAUUGUUGUAUUUUUCAAUCUUCUCUCUGUUUGCAGACUUCCAGAUGCGGGACAGAGCUUAUAACAAUGGCUGACAGGGAGCUAAGAUGGCGGCAGCCAUUUACAGAAUAAAGAGGUGUGGAUUUCUACAGUUAAUUUUAUUUCUAAAAACCCCACAAAUACAUAUUUCUUAAAUACAGAGAUAAAUAAACAUAAUCGAAAGAAUUUGAGAGAAUUGAGGUCAUUUUGGUGGCCCCCAACAUGUUUAAAUCGCUCUUCCAUUAAACUAUUUCUAAGGGCACGACUGACCAUAACCAAUACAGCCAACUGUAGUGGUUAUGGUGCCCAGACUGAUUCUUUAGCCCCUUUUACAUUUUCUUUAUUCGGUUAUAUGUGACUGUAAAAAAAAAAAAAAGUAAAAAAGUAUUUCAAUAAAAAGUGUAAG